GACCGCGUAGCUCAGUUGGAAGAGCAUUGGGCUAGUAUUCCAAAGGUCGUAGGUUCGAAUCCCACCGUGCCCG
Non-coding RNA from Paramuricea clavata, 73 nucleotides. The record is from the annotation of a GenBank genome assembly. NCBI's taxonomy places the organism in Eukaryota, Metazoa, Cnidaria, Anthozoa, Malacalcyonacea, Plexauridae.